RNAcentral lists this ribosomal RNA (446 nucleotides) under uncultured bacterium. Its description in RNAcentral is "bacterial SSU rRNA". It matches the Rfam family "Bacterial small subunit ribosomal RNA", at positions 355 to 825 of the family's 1533-position model. The record is from RNAcentral.
UGGGGAAUCUUGGACAAUGGGCGCAAGCCUGAUCCAGCCAUGCCGCGUGAGUGAUGAAGGCCUUAGGGUUGUAAAGCUCUUUUGCCGGGGACGAUAAUGACGGUACCCGGAGAAUAAGUCCCGGCUAACUUCGUGCCAGCAGCCGCGGUAAUACGAAGGGGACUAGCGUUGUUCGGAAUCACUGGGCGUAAAGCGCACGUAGGCGGAUUUGUAAGUCAGGGGUGAAAUCCCGGGGCUCAACCUCGGAACUGCCUUUGAUACUGCGGAUCUCGAGUCCGAUAGAGGUGAGUGGAAUUCCUAGUGUAGAGGUGAAAUUCGUAGAUAUUAGGAAGAACACCAGUGGCGAAGGCGGCUCACUGGCCCGAUACUGACGCUGAGGUGCGAAAGCGUGGGAGCAAACAGGAUUAGAUACCCCAGUAGUCCCUGAGCGGGCUGGCAAGGCGCAU